RNAcentral lists this ribosomal RNA (554 nucleotides) under uncultured bacterium. RNAcentral's name for it is "bacterial SSU rRNA". It matches the Rfam family "Bacterial small subunit ribosomal RNA", at positions 777 to 1345 of the family's 1533-position model. The record is from RNAcentral.
AAUAGAUACCCGGGUAGUCCACGCCGUAAACGAUGGAUGCUAGCUGUUAUGCGUAUCGACCCGUGUAGUAGCGAAGCUAACGCGUUAAGCAUCCCGCCUGGGGAGUACGAACGCAAGUUUAAAACUCAAAGGAAUUGACGGGGACCCGCACAAGCGGUGGAGCGUGUUCUUUAAUUCGAGGCUAAGCGAAGAACCUUACCAGGGCUUGACAUCCCUGGAAUUUCUCCGAAAGGAGAGAGUACUUUAUUGGACCAAGUGACAGGUGCUGCAUGGCCGUCGUCAGCUCGUGUCGUGAGAUGUUUGGUUAAGUCCAUUAACGAGCGCAACCCUUAUGAAUAGUUGUAUUUUUCUAUUCAGACUGCCCCGGUAACGGGGAGGAAGGGGGGGAUGAUGUCAGGUCAGUAUUGCCCUUACGCCCUGGGCUAGAAACGCGCUACAAUGGCCGGUACAAUGCGCUGCCAACCCGCGAGGGGGAGCAAAUCGCAUCAAAGCCGGUCCCAGUUCGGAUAAGAGGCUGAAACUCGCCUCUUGAAGCCGGAAUCGCUAGUAAUCGU